CAAAGACCCACUUAGCUGAGGGAAGACAGCUCUUGAUGAAGCUUUGAGUGGGAAAAGAAACCUGUUGGCUGUGUUGUUCUGGGAGAUACUAAAUAGUCAAGCUGUGCCCAGGUAUAAAACACUGAAUUCUCAGGGCAGCCCUUCUUCCCUUUAUACCCUUAAAGGCCAUUUCCUACAUAACUGAUCCCAGCAGUUAUGAAAAGCAAACUUCCAUCUGAACUGUUCUUGCUCAUCGGAACAAGUAAAUGCUGUCUCCCUCACAGUGGAUAAGCCAUCUUAUGUUUUGGCCAAGAGUGAAAAAUUUGGGCUUCAAUGUACUUUUUGUUUUACGAAUUGCCUUUUUGUGUGGCUGCUCAAGUUUUCCAGCUAUAGUUGCUAUCACUGUGGUUCUUUCUAAAAAUCCUUGUUUUUGACAGGCUCACUGAAAGUAGUCGUAGCAAACUAGUGAUUUGUUAAGAAACAUUCCUUGGAACACACAACUUGGGAUAGUGCUUCAGAUGGAUGGUAUAGCACGUUGUUAAGGGGGAUAUUGAGAAUCUAGGAAGUCUCUGGGUCUGACUGAUGGAAAGUUCUUCCUGCUGUGAAUAAAAGACUCUUCCUCCUGUCCCCAGCUGAAACUUCAGCACACCCAAGAAUCUUCUCAGAAUCUCAUUUUUAAUUUGUUGUAUAAGAUCUUGGUAUGGAAUAUGAAAUAGGGCAUGUCAGAUAUGGAGAGAUUUCUUGAACUUGAGAGCCUUAAACAGCUUUGAAAAUACACCAAGAGAGCUCCCAUUGGGAUAAAAAUUAGAAGUGAGUAUUUUUAGGUGCCCUUGAAGCUUUCUGGGGACUCAGAUCAUCAACAGUCAGGGACAGCCCAAA
Molecule: long non-coding RNA, 858 nt
Filed under: Bos taurus (domestic cattle)
Lineage: Eukaryota; Metazoa; Chordata; Mammalia; Artiodactyla; Bovidae
Description: long non-coding RNA NONBTAT024781
Source: RNAcentral